UUUGGAGUCAAGAAUAUUAGUCAAUGCUCGCAAGAGUGAACUAGCUAACUGAAAUCAUAGAAUUUCUUUAAAUUCAUGAUGUCGUAAGGGAAAAUAAUGUAAUACCUUACUAUGAGUGUCGUCCAAAUCUGGUGCCAGAAGACUCGGUAAGACCAGAGACGCAAACGUUAAUCAUCAUAAACAGGCGUAAAGGGUUUGUAGGCAGCUUUCACAAGAUUAUGAAUUCAAAAUAAAGUCAUCUAAUUGAAAGCUAGAAUCAAAAAGAGGUUAUAGUGUAUAACGCCUAGAGGAGGGCUGAUAUCCAUAGAUCCUAGGCAGAAUACUUAGGGCGAAGGCCACUCUCCACUAAUGAUUGACGCUGAGAAACGAAGGUUAGGGUAGGAAAUAGGAUUAGAUACCCCGGUACUCCUUUCUGUAAACGAUGAAUGGUAGUCAUUAGUUUUUUAAAAUAAUUAGAGACGAAGUUAACACAAUAACCAUUCCGCCUUGUGAGUACUACUGCAAAGUAGAAAACAAAAAAAUUAGUGGUCUCGAAGCAAACGGAGUGAAGCAUGUUAUUUAAUACGAUAAUCCGCGUAAAACCUUACCAGAACUUGCAUACAAACGGUUUU
RNAcentral lists this ribosomal RNA (611 nucleotides) under Truncospora ohiensis. RNAcentral describes it as "partial small subunit ribosomal RNA". It matches the Rfam family "Bacterial small subunit ribosomal RNA", at positions 348 to 998 of the family's 1533-position model. The record is from RNAcentral. Lineage: Eukaryota; Fungi; Basidiomycota; Agaricomycetes; Polyporales; Polyporaceae.